RNAcentral lists this transfer RNA (56 nucleotides) under Dipodomys ordii (Ord's kangaroo rat). It matches the Rfam family "tRNA", at positions 10 to 63 of the family's 71-position model. From Rfam's summary of the family: Transfer RNA (tRNA) molecules are approximately 80 nucleotides in length. Their secondary structure includes four short double-helical elements and three loops (D, anti-codon, and T loops). The record is from Rfam by way of RNAcentral. Lineage: Eukaryota; Metazoa; Chordata; Mammalia; Rodentia; Heteromyidae.
GCUCAGUGGUAGAGCGCUUGCCUUGUAUGCAUGAGGCCCUGGGUUCGAUUCCUCAG